Molecule: non-coding RNA, 1213 nt
Organism: Lonchura striata (white-rumped munia)
Lineage: Eukaryota; Metazoa; Chordata; Aves; Passeriformes; Estrildidae
Source: RefSeq, a predicted model, not a curated record
CCGAGGGGCCCUGGCGGCGGCGGGCCGGGCGUGAGGGGAGCCGCUCUGCCGCCAGGUGUGAGGAGCGAAAGAGCCUUCCUGCUUCCCGUGGCAAUACUGGGGCACCAGCUAGGUACUCAUAUGGAAAUGGAAGUUAGGUAAUUGCUCUGUUUGUUUUCUCUACCCCACCCAUGCUGCCGUUCUAAGACGGAAACCUGGGAACCAUGGGAGCGUGUUUUCGGGGAUAAGGACACCCUCGAUGGAAACCUAAACACAGUAGAGGGGGCUGGGCAGGUACGGUUCGCUGGCUGAGGAAGAGGGAACCACAUCCCUGAUCGACGUUUGACCUGUCACUAUCACCUACAUAAGACUGAACUGGAGUGGGCUGUGGGAAGCAGGAAUAAAGAGGCAAGAUUUUUGUGGUGUUACCAGGAGGAAAGGACAGUCUGCUGAUGAGGACUUCAGCCACAGACUGCACACCUCUUCACCCUUCAGCUACCAGUGUGCCACAGAGACUUCAGGGACAGACUCUGCACGCCUUCUCCCCCUUCGCCUACCUGGAAAAAGCUACAACAACGGGGGUGAGCUCCGUGUCGAGCCCCCUGCCCAGCUGAUCUUUUUAAUAAAGAGCUGAACAUUAAUAAAGGCAUAAGCCCUGUUCAUUUCACCAGACACACACUGUCCGUGCCUCCACAGCUCCUGAGUCCAACCCUUGUCCUUCUGCCAAUAUGCUGAUUGUUGGAGAAAAACCUUUCAAAACCUGUAUUUCUUCUGGGAAAUGCCUCACUAGGCCUUCCGUUAACUACAAGGAUAGACUGAGAGAUGAAUAAUAAACUUUAUUUUCCCACCUUUGUUACAGAAACAUUUUAAAACAUGGGCUACACUAUUCCUAAAAAUGGAAUCAGUGAGAACUUUCAGUUUGCACAUGCCAUCACUGCUAUUGGGAGAGGAACGCAGCUCUCAGCAGACAAAUCCAGCAGGCAGCAAAACAUCAGCACUGGGCUUCAGAAAUCCCCAGGACAGCCACUUUUUACCAGUUUGUGAGUGUUUGAAUGCACCAUCAGAAGGCAGCCACAGACCCAGCUGUGUGGGAUCUGUGUUACCCUGUAAAGGCAUUUUGGGAGCACAGCUCUGAGGAGACAGACUGCUAAACAAACAGGUCCAGAUCUUAGUGCCAUUCUGGUGAAGACCAGGAAAGCACCAGGAGAUGGGAUAAAAUCUGUGUUGUUGGUCU